AUUCUCAGUUCGGAUUGUAGGCUGAAACUCGUCUACAUGAAGCUGGAGUUACUAGUAAUCGCAGAUCAGAAUGCUGCGGUGAAUGCGUUCCCGGGUCUUGUACACACCGCCCGUCACACCACGGAAGUUGGGGGCGCCCGAAGCCACUUAGCUAACCCAUUUGGGAAGCGAGUGUCGAAGGUGAAAUCAAUAACUGGGGUGAAGUCGUAACAAGGUAGC
This 219-nucleotide ribosomal RNA is filed under the name uncultured bacterium. RNAcentral's name for it is "partial 16S ribosomal RNA". It matches the Rfam family "Bacterial small subunit ribosomal RNA", at positions 1284 to 1500 of the family's 1533-position model. The record is from RNAcentral.